Culex pipiens pallens (northern house mosquito) is the source of this 3833-nucleotide long non-coding RNA. RefSeq lists it as uncharacterized. The transcript is spliced from 2 exons. The record is from RefSeq and is a predicted model, not a curated record. NCBI's taxonomy places the organism in Eukaryota, Metazoa, Arthropoda, Insecta, Diptera, Culicidae.
CUUAAAUUCUUAAAUUCUUAAAUUCUUAAAUUCUUAAAUUCUUAAAUUUUUUUAAUUUUUUAAAUUCUUAAAUUCUUAAAUUCUUAAAUUCUUAAAUUCUUAAAUUCUUAAAUUCUUAAAUUCUUAAAUUCUUAAAUUCUUAAAUUCUUAAAUUCUUAAAUUCUUAAAUUCGUAAAUUCUUAAAUUCUUAAAUUCUUAAAUUCUUACAAGGGGAAAACCACUCUGCUCAUUGCCCUCGAGUAGGCUGUGCCCUAAAGUUGCCCAAACGUGCCCGAAGGUGCCCGAAUGUUGCCCAAAUGUGUCCUGAAGCUUCUCAAAAUAAAUAAUUUGUGUACGAUGCUUAGCAACCCUGUUACUUUGUUUACACUUUUUUGGACAGCUGUCGGUUUGUGUUGUGAAUUUUUCUCGGAGAUCAAACAGCUUAUUCCCCGCGAUCCUGAGAUUGUCGCAAGCAUUCCCACAUGAGGAAAUCUCGCGUUGAAGCGUGUCUGUGGUGCCGAUCCUAAUGAAGCGCUGGUGAGAUAUAUUGUAAAGACAACAGGAAUGGCAUGUCAACGACGUGUUGGUGCCGGAGAAACAGGUUUUCCGAAGGGCCAAAACUGGCUGGCGAUCAGCACAUUGGCAUGAUGGCUCACGUUGUAUCCGGAUUAAGUUCCAACACUACCUGAACACACCAAGAUGUUUGCGUCGGAAAGUUUAACACUUCCUGUCAGGAGCUGCGAGCGUUAUUCAUCGCCACUACUCAGUUCAAGGUGGUCCCGGCCUCAACGCAGGUUGCGGUACAAGGACAAGAAGCCGUUUGCCUGGUGCAGUGCAAUUUGUACAUCAAGACAUAUUCAACAAGCUAGUUUUAUUUUUAUUCACACAAAACUAUAUUUAUUUAUAACGACAUUUUUCAAAUAUAAUAAAGAACACAUGAUCAACAAAUUUGCAGAACUUCAUCGCAUCUCAGUGCUGGGAUAUUAAAAUCACAAACUCUUUGUUUGUCUUUUUGGUAUUCCCGUCAAACGGUUUUCCCGGGUGUUGAAUUGUAUCAAAUUUGCUUCCAGCUGAUUCAGCACAACUUCCAGUAUUUCGUCGAGGUCCUUCUUUACUGGCUAUCGAUUUCACUGCAGUGUCGUAGUACUUUAUCCCAGCACGACCGUGGUCUUGACUGAUCGUCGGUCAUUCAAGUGAAACCUUCCGGCAGGACGAUCUGGUCGGGUUUGUUAAUUUGUCGCGCUGUGUAUGUUCACUGCUGCGAAGCAUAUUUAAUUUCUAGUUACUUAAUAAAUAAUACGUCCUAGGUUUUUUAAAUAAAAUGUUGUGCUGCAUAAAACAAUAAUGACCCAGUUCUAGAGGUAAACUUCUUUCAAUUACUUUUUUUGUCAACCAUUUUUUUUUAAAUAUUUUGAAAUAAUUUAAAAAAUAAUAAUACCCAAUUUGAGUAAAUCCACUCAACUGUGUACAAUGUUGCAGAAAAAGUACUGGAACGCGCUACCCAGGCAAAAUUUUUGCCGCUUCUCUCUUUGCAGAACUUCUGCAAAAGAGAGUGAUGAAGAGAGCGGGCUGAAAAGUACGGGAACGUGCUGCAAAAAAGUGACUUAUGCUGGCUGCAGAAUUCUGCAGAAGCUGCAGAAAUUCUGCAAUUCUGCAAGUACGGGAAUAGACCUAAUGCUAUUUCUGAUCUCAUUUCUUGAAAGUCGGCCAAACGCCUUUUUUGUAUUUUAAAUGAUAUUAAAUUUCAUUGAAAAGUUGCAUGCAAAUUCGCAAAACGUAAACAAAAGUAAUCGAUAAUUUUUGUUUUUCUUUUUAUUGUGUUGAGUGAGAUAACCAAACUUAUAAGCACCCUCAGCAAAGGACACUUUAGACAACAAUGUUGUAUGGUUUGACGUUUGCGGGAAACGAUGAAAACAAAUCGACCGAGCCACGUAGCCCAGUGGUAACGCUUCCGUCUCGUAAGCGGUAGAUCGGGGUUCAAAUCCCGGCUCGGACCAACACAACUGGUGAUCCUUUCCCUUCUGGAAUCGAUUGCUUAGUAAAGGGAAGGUAGUGUAUCGUCACAAACUGGACCUUAUCACGACACCUUAGGGAGGCGACCUAUGGAAUGUUAACAUUAACCUUAACAUGUUAACAUUAAGUUGAGAAUGAAACUGCCACUGAAUCCGCUUUGUAAAUGCCGGCCCCGAUACUCUUCAAGGGUGUUCCCCUCAGGAACUGGGAAAGAUUUACUUUUUUUUAUGAAAACAAAUCAAGCAAAACGAUGUAAAUGCGCUUAAAACGAAAGUGUAAACAAAGAGGCUAUCCUGCUCACGUCAGUUGACGUUUACCUUAGGAACGAGCAGGACAGACUCUUUGUUUACCUUUCGACAUUGGCUGAACUACAUUGUUCUGCUAGAAAUAACAGAAAAAAUAUCAUGAAAAUAUCUUUUACUCUUUGAUGUUCUUUUGAGAGUUCGGAAAGUUUGUUGGAGAAGAAUGAUUUUUUUUUAUUACAGCAAAGAGUUUUUUUUAAAUAUCUUAUUCAAUAAAAACUGUUUUUUACUGAUAUAAAAUCUUUAAAAUCAAGACAAAGCUAAAGAAACGUGAAAAUUCUACCCUGGCUGUCCGGAACAACUUAAACCACUUCAAGUUAUAAAGAUCAAACCACUGCCCGUAAGUCGUACACAAAAAAAGAUGGUGAUUGAAGAUUGAAGCGACUUUGACUUUUAUUUGUUAUUCAAAAAAGAAUUUAAAAAUUAACUUUUCACUAAAUUAACAACAUACGUAAUCGCUUCAUGUUGUUUGUAGAUUAUGGAAACAGAGAAUCAAAACUGUUCUGGUUGUUGAAACUUAAAAAUUUGUUGAAUUUAGACAAACUAAAAAAAAAUUGCUUGCGCAAAACGUUACAAAUGUGUAAAAGGAGAUUUAGUGUUGAGUUUGCCGCGUAAAAUUCAUGUUUUACGUUUUUAUUUAUUGCUUACUGAUAAAACUGUGUAAAAAUGUGCCUUAUGUAACAGAAUUACAAACCAACUUUUUUUUUUAUGAAAUGGUAAAUAUUAAUAUUUAAACGAGACACGCGCGCGUUGAGCAGGCAAAUACACAAACAAACAAAAACACAAACACACAGUCAUGGAAGCAACAAAGUGGAUAACGUAAUUUAACUAGAAGCUUAGUAAUUUAACAGUGAAUGUUCGAUUAAAAAAAAAAACAAAGAAAACAAGUGGAGAGGAAAAACACAAAACAGCAAUUUAGUAGAUAGAAUAGAAGCAAAUUUACUGUACAGAAGCAAAAUAUAUCCCAACACGUAUAGGAAGAAAGAAAGUGCUAAUCGCCAAGUUUAGUGAGUAGUGCAAGAAAAAAUGCGUCAUAUUAUGAGAACUGUAAAAAUAGUAUUUUUAAACCGAAACGGGACAAGCUGCAGGCAAAGGAUGCAGCGAAGGGGGUCCAACAGAACCCACGACUUUUGUAAUAUAUUAGAAAGAUGAAUUUAGAAGCAAGUCGGAGGGAUUUUAGCAAGCCAAUUUAGAAAAGAAACAAACUAACAAAAAAAUGGAAAUCAAAACUGCAAACAAUCUGCGCAAAAAGCUUAAUUAUACAUAUAUUUUUAAGAGUUGCACGUAAGGGUGGGAAAGAGUGAGUGAAAGAGAGAAAGAGAGAAUCAGUAGCGAUAAAUAUAUGAUUGCCAAUAAAUCGUGGUUAGCGUCACACACAAAAACAACAAAAAUCGUAAACUGUAGAGAGAGAAACUUUUAGACACGGGCAAACGUUUUGAAUAUUACAUUUGUUAUUUAAUUUUUAUAUUUGUAGCUAUUACUAUAUAUUUACAUAGAUUUUAUAAAAAAAAUAUCUAAUAAACGGAAAAGAUCUGAGAA